AGAGUUUGAUCAUGGCUCAGGAUGAACGCUGGCGGCAUGCCUAAUACAUGCAAGUCGAACGGGGAAGAGCAAUCUUCCCAGUGGCGAACGGGUGAGUAAAGCGUAGACAACCUGUCUUCAAGACGAGGAUAACGGCUGGAAACGGCUGCUAAUACUGGAUAGGAUAAGUAGUCGCAUGGCAACUUAUUUAAAGGCGGGUCACGCCGCUUGAAGAGGGGUCUACGUCGCAUUAGCUAGUUGGUGUGGUAACGGCGCACCAAGGCGACGAUGCGUAGCUGUGCUGAGAGGCAGGACAGCCACACUGGGACUGAGACACGGCCCAGACUCCUACGGGAGGCAGCAGUAGGGAAUUUUCGGCAAUGGGGGCAACCCUGACCGAGCAAUGCCGCGUGAACGAUGAAGAUCUUCGGAUCGUAAAGUUCUGUGAUCGGGGAAGAACGGCAUGACCAGGGAAUGGGUCAUGAUUGACGGUACCUGAUUAGAAAGCCCCGGCUAACUAUGUGCCAGCAGCCGCGGUAAU
Molecule: ribosomal RNA, 520 nt
Filed under: uncultured bacterium
Lineage: Bacteria
Description: bacterial SSU rRNA
Rfam family: Bacterial small subunit ribosomal RNA
Source: RNAcentral